This 75-nucleotide transfer RNA is filed under the name Bacteriophage sp. RNAcentral describes it as "tRNA-Val". It matches the Rfam family "tRNA". Rfam says of the family: Transfer RNA (tRNA) molecules are approximately 80 nucleotides in length. The record is from RNAcentral.
UCUUCCUUAGCUCAGUUGGUUUAGAGUGUCUGUCUUACAAACAGAAGGUCUUUGGUUCGAAUCCAAAAGGAAGAA